Molecule: ribosomal RNA, 495 nt
Filed under: uncultured bacterium
Lineage: Bacteria
Description: partial 16S ribosomal RNA
Rfam family: Bacterial small subunit ribosomal RNA
Source: RNAcentral
GACGAACGCUGGCGGCGUGCCUAAUACAUGCAAGUAGAACGCUGAAGGAGGAGCUUGCUUCUCUGGAUGAGUUGCGAACGGGUGAGUAACGCGUAGGUAACCUGCCUGGUAGCGGGGGAUAACUAUGGGAAACGAUAGCUAAUACCGCAUAAUAGCAGUUGUUGCAUGACAACUGUUUGAAAGGUGCAAGUGGACCACUACCAGAUGGUCCUGCGUUGUAUUAGCUAGUUGGUGGGGUAACGGCUCACCAAGGCGACGAUACAUAGCCGACCUGAGAGGGUGAUCGGCCACACUGGGACUGAGACACGGCCCAGACUCCUACGGGAGGCAGCAGUAGGGCAUCUUCGGCAAUCGACGGAAGUCUGACCGAGCAACGCCGCGUGAGUGUAGAAGGUUUUCGGAUCGUAAAGCUCUGUUGUAAGAGAAGAACGAGUGUGAGAGUGGAAAGUUCACACUGUGACGGUAUCUUACCAGAAAGGGACGGCUAACUACGUG